GAUGAACGCUGGCGGCGUGCCUAAUACAUGCAAGUCGAGCGAACAGACGAGGAGCUUGCUCCUCUGACGUUAGCGGCGGACGGGUGAGUAACACGUGGAUAACCUACCUAUAAGACUGGGAUAACUUCGGGAGUCCGGAGCUAAUACCGGAUAAUAUAUUGAACCGCAUGGUUCAAUAGUGAAAGACGGUUUUGCUGUCACUUAUAGAUGGAUCCGCGCCGCAUUAGCUAGUUGGUAAGGUAACGGCUUACCAAGGCAACGAUGCGUAGCCGACCUGAGAGGGGGAUCGGCCACACGGGAACUGAGACACGGUCCAGACUCCUACGGGAGGCAGCAGUAGGGAAUCUUCCGCAAUGGGCGAAAGCCUGACGGAGCAACGCCGCGUGAGUGAUGAAGGUCUUCGGAUCGUAAAACUCUGUUAUUAGGGAAGAACAAAUGUGUAAGUAACUAUGCACGUCUUGACGGUACCUAAUCAGAAAGCCACGGCUAACUACGUG
RNAcentral lists this ribosomal RNA (497 nucleotides) under uncultured bacterium. RNAcentral describes it as "partial 16S ribosomal RNA". It matches the Rfam family "Bacterial small subunit ribosomal RNA", at positions 28 to 507 of the family's 1533-position model. The record is from RNAcentral.